Molecule: ribosomal RNA, 100 nt
Filed under: uncultured Lactococcus sp.
Lineage: Bacteria; Bacillati; Bacillota; Bacilli; Lactobacillales; Streptococcaceae
Description: partial 16S ribosomal RNA
Source: RNAcentral
AUCUUCCGCAUUGGACGAAGUCUGAUCCGAGCACGCCGCGUGAGUGAAGAAGGUUUUCGGAUCGUAAAACUCUGUUGGUAAAGAAGAACGUUGGUGAGAG